This 429-nucleotide ribosomal RNA is filed under the name Bacteroidota bacterium. RNAcentral's name for it is "Bacteroidetes bacterium partial 16S ribosomal RNA". It matches the Rfam family "Bacterial small subunit ribosomal RNA", at positions 355 to 776 of the family's 1533-position model. The record is from RNAcentral. Lineage: Bacteria; Pseudomonadati; Bacteroidota.
UAGGGAAUCUUCCGCAAUGGACGCAAGUCUGACGGAGCAACGCCGCGGGAGUGAAGAAGGAUUUCGGUUCGUAAAACUCUGUUGUUAGAGAAGAACAGCGCAUAGAGUAACUGUUAUGCGUGUGACGGUAUCUAACCAGAAAGCCACGGCUAACUACGUGCCAGCAGCCGCGGUAAUACGUAGGUGGCAAGCGUUGUCCGGAUUUAUUGGGCGUAAAGCGAGCGCAGGCGGUCAAUUAAGUCUGAUGUGAAAGCCCCCGGCUCAACCGGGGAGGGUCAUUGGAAACUGGUUGACUUGAGUGCAGAAGAGGAGAGUGGAAUUCCAUGUGUAGCGGUGAAAUGCGUAGAUAUAUGGAGGAACACCAGUGGCGAAGGCGACUCUCUGGUCUGUAGCUGACGCUGAGGCUCGAAAGCGUGGGUAGCAAACAGG